RNAcentral lists this long non-coding RNA (679 nucleotides) under Bos taurus (domestic cattle). Its description in RNAcentral is "long non-coding RNA NONBTAT020542". Lineage: Eukaryota; Metazoa; Chordata; Mammalia; Artiodactyla; Bovidae. The record is from RNAcentral.
UAAAACACAUUAUUUAGAUAAUAGAUUCUUACUUAAAUCAUUAUAUUCAGUUACAUGUUCAGAGAUGCUAUAAAUGAUGACAGUGAAAGAACAUACAUUUAAGAUGUAAAUUGUAUGCUUAGAUGUAUUUAUUUAUGGCAUUAGUUAUUAUAGAAAUCUGCUUCAAUUUUUAGGCAGAUGGAAAGGACAGUAUGAUGAGUUGCUAUGACAAAUAGGGUAUUUUCCCAUGUAAACUUAUCUCUUCUUUUAAUAUUUCAGUUUUUUUUUUUCCUUCUCUAAGGAGAAGCUUUAGAGCUGGCAGUAGCAGCACCCAUAGGGUGAUUUACAUAUCUGUCUGUUAAAAGUAGCUGGGGUUCAAUCAUGGACUUAAUUAUCUUUACACUAGAAGCCAAGCUUAUAGUCUUGCCUUGGAAUCUCUUUAGUUUUUGGUAAUUAGUCCUGACCAGUACUUCCUAUACUUUGACUCCAUUUAGUAACAAGAUUAAAAAUAUACAGUUAAUUCUAAAAAUGAAAAUUUGAUCUCAGAAUGAAAAUUCGGCUUUUUCACAAGUGAUAUUGUGAAGACGGAGAAGGAGAAUUACAGCUCAAAUAAAAAACUUUAUAUAAAUUUUAAGCAGUCUGAUAACACUAAAAGGAAUACUUGGGGGAGGAGGACAUACAGUGGCAGUGCGCUGGGAAG